Molecule: transfer RNA, 72 nt
Filed under: bacterium
Lineage: Bacteria
Description: tRNA-Thr
Rfam family: tRNA
About the family: Transfer RNA (tRNA) molecules are approximately 80 nucleotides in length. Their secondary structure includes four short double-helical elements and three loops (D, anti-codon, and T loops).
Source: RNAcentral
GCGUCCUUAGCUCAGAGGUAGAGCAACUGACUCGUAAUCGGUGGGUCACCGGUUCAAUCCCGGUAGGGCGCA